This 738-nucleotide unclassified non-coding RNA is filed under the name Hevea brasiliensis (rubber tree). Lineage: Eukaryota; Viridiplantae; Streptophyta; Magnoliopsida; Malpighiales; Euphorbiaceae. The record is from RNAcentral.
UAAUUCAAGAGUUACAAGAUUUCAUAGUGUCUUCGUGGACUUAUGUAGUUGAACUUGCGAGAGAACAAGCUCAUUUGUCAUCUAGGAAAGUUAUUAGACUAUUCUGGAACAUAAUUAGCAUAGGUGUGGCUAAGCACAAGGCAAUCCCAGGCCAUGGGGCGCACAAGGCAAUCUCAGGCCAUGGGGCUUGCACCUGUGUUGGUGUCAAGCAAGGCACCAUCCCUAAGUUGUGCACCUUUAGGGUGCACCCAGGUGUGAAUUUUUUUUUUCUCUAAAUAAAUGGACUUCUAAACAGCAAGGUAUUAUGAUCCCAGCGUUUAUUAAAUGAACUUGAUUGUAAACUUUGAGUUCUAGGACUCCAACUGAAAAAGAUAAGAAGUUUUAGAAUGUCAUUUAUUAUUUAUAUUUAUUGCUUGUCUUUUUCUUCCCCUCAAAGCUUAGCAUGUCAUCUUUGUCUCAAACUAUCCCAUAAUAUGCAAUGUUAGGGAUUUAGAACCUUGGGAAUUCCUUUGGAUUACCAAGUCCCCCAAAACCAACCACCCCCUACCACCCCCACCUCCUAGGACCAACAAAAUUAAAUUUACAGGGACAGUAUAAUAUUGUCUUAGAAAUUUGCAUGUAGCAAUUAAAUUACCAGAAAGUGAAGCUGUACAUAAGCUUGAACAUUGCAGACUUGCAUGAUGCAUCAGACUAAUAAAGGCGUAUCUUUUUAUCGCAGGUUGUGAUGCCUACAGUAGA